RNAcentral lists this long non-coding RNA (334 nucleotides) under Mus musculus (house mouse). RNAcentral describes it as "predicted gene, 57228". The record is from RNAcentral. Lineage: Eukaryota; Metazoa; Chordata; Mammalia; Rodentia; Muridae.
AGGGGUGUGUAGGAGGUCGGGAAUCGGAGAGGACAGACCCGACCCUUUCGAGGGAGAAGACAGGUCAAGGAGAGAGGAAAGAGAAAGAGCCGCUAUAGAGUGGGGCUGCGGGCCAGGUGGAGUAGGAACCGCUGUUGUCAGGGGAAGCUAGAAGAAAAAGAAGGGGUCGAUAAGGAAAGGGGGGCUGGAGUGGAGGGAGGAGAAACCAGCUGAGACUGGGAGACUGAGGGUGGAGAGAGGAAAGGAAGAGGAGACUGCGGGAAGGGGAAAGGAGAGAGGAACCACAGAAGGAAGAGAGAACAAGAGUGAUCUCCGAGUGGAGACAAAUAGAAAA